This 399-nucleotide long non-coding RNA is filed under the name Homo sapiens (human). Its description in RNAcentral is "HSALNT0242106". The record is from RNAcentral. Lineage: Eukaryota; Metazoa; Chordata; Mammalia; Primates; Hominidae.
CCCUUACCACGUCCAGUUCUGUUUUCUCCAGGACAUCCACCAGCACCUCAAUCUUGGUCUCCUCGUUGAAGAGAAAAUCAUCGUCCACCCAGAGAACGUAUUUGGUGGUGACCUGAGAUAUGGCCAGGUUCCUACCAGCAAACCAACCCUACCCAAUCUGAGAGGGACAUACCUUCCCAAAGGGCAUAGUGUAAUACUCCACGUGAUUGUCUUUAAUUUCCAGGGGCUUCUGGCUGUCAUCAGCGUGCUGGUGUAUGUCACGUGCUGAAGAAUGAACUUCAACAGCUUCCGGUCACUGGUAGAAAUGAUCAGCUGCUUCUGGCCUCUGCCCUGCACCACACUGUCUGGGACAUCAGCAAGGGUGUUCAGUGUCCCCAGAGAAGCUGUCAGGGUGACCUA